RNAcentral lists this ribosomal RNA (253 nucleotides) under uncultured Eubacteriales bacterium. RNAcentral describes it as "uncultured Clostridiales bacterium partial 16S ribosomal RNA". It matches the Rfam family "Bacterial small subunit ribosomal RNA", at positions 524 to 776 of the family's 1533-position model. Lineage: Bacteria; Bacillati; Bacillota; Clostridia; Eubacteriales. The record is from RNAcentral.
UACGGAGGGGGCAAGCGUUAUCCGGAUUUACUGGGUGUAAAGGGAGCGUAGACGGUGCAGCAAGUCUGAUGUGAAAGGUCGGGGCCCAACCCCGGGACUGCAUUGGAAACUGUUGAACUGGAGUACAGGAGAGGUAAGCGGAAUUCCUAGUGUAGCGGUGAAAUGCGUAGAUAUACGGAGGAACACCAGUGGCGAAGGCGGCCUGCUGGACAAUAACUGACGCUGAGGCGCGAAAGCGUGGGGAGCAAACAGG